This 1514-nucleotide long non-coding RNA is filed under the name Crocodylus porosus (Australian saltwater crocodile). RNAcentral's name for it is "lncRNA (ENSCPRG00005014139.1)". The record is from RNAcentral. Lineage: Eukaryota; Metazoa; Chordata; Crocodylia; Crocodylidae.
UGGUACAACACCGUUACGCUUACACGACGACGUCCGGCCGGUCCCAGUGCUGGUAGUGGACAGCCAGUACAUAUACAAAGUCGUAACGGGGGUCGCCGACCCCAUGGACAACACCGACAUGUGGGAAAUAAUCUUUUCCCAAUUAGCAGAGUUCGGCCAGCUCCCGCCGAUCAAGCACACCCAAUCGCACCAGCCCGACACCGACCCCGUCCACGCUCACAUCGAACAAUACCUGCAAAGCCCUCGCUGCACGGUAGCCGUGGCCCCAGCAACGCCCAACAGCGAUCACCUAGCCCAGUGGCUUCGCGAGUUCUGGAACCACCCAGGAAAGCGCAAGGCGCGUGCUCGCUGGAAACAGACAGGGGGACAGAGCAGAGAAGUCCGACCCGAAGCCUGGGAUGAAGCAACGCGUCGCUGCCUCGCUUGCAGCCGCGACAAACCACAGCACAGCGUUAAGUACGAAAAGCACGCCUACGAUACAUCGCCCUUCGCUCCCGGUCAAGCGUGGCAAACAGACCUCCUCGGUCCGCUCCCAGAAACUCGCCGAAAACCCAAGGGUCUCGUCGUAGUCGACUUAGGGACACGCCAACUAGCUGCAAUACCACUCUCAAGGUCCUGUGCCCAAGACGUUGUCCACGCACUCCACCAAGUAGGACAGCGGUGGAAGUACCUGCAACAAAUACAGUCCGACGGCGGACCGCCGUUUAAUAGUUGCCAGCUCGCUAAAUUCGCGGCCAAAGACAACAUUAGCUGGCAUCUUCAUUUGCCGUACCACCUGCAAAGCAAUGGCGUCGAUGCACGCUCCAUUGGACCGUUAAAAGAAAAGCUACGCCUUUGCGGAUAUGGAAGCUAUAAAGGCUGGGACACGCACCUUCCGCAAGUGUUAAGUUCACUAAAUUUCGACAAAGUGUUAUGGGAACCCCGUAAUCCGGUCGGACUGCCGCCCUGGAAACCUGCCUAUGAGCCCGCCAUGCUCGUGGGGGUGACAAUCCCCACCCACAAGGAUUCCAGUCCGACCCCCGUGCCGGGGCACGUUAUCAAGCCCGGCACUUAUCCCCACACUUACGUUUGUGAGCUGAAGGGACAGUCUAAAUCCCGUUUAGUGCAUCACAACUGGCUUUCUAGGCGCUUUGAGCAAUUAUAGUAGUGUUGUUGCUUUGACUUCAGUUACUUGUUGCUGUUGCUUUGUUACAGGUAACCAGAAAACUACCGGAAGACUACCGCCAUGAGUCUCCUCAUCGCUGUCCUGACCCUGUUAGCAAACCGUACCCCCGUUCUGUCGUUGCGGAGGGACAACAACACCUUCGUUCACCUCUUGCAACGGGUUGCCGGUGAGUGCCUCACAGUCGAAGGGGGCAACGAGAUCGAGGCCGACGACACCGACUACCGAAUCUGUUUCCCGCGCCUGCAAAGCGCCAAUGACUUAAGCUCAUAGUUUACCGCGAGCCGUCCCAAAGUAACCUCAACAUCAGGUUUAGAAAAGUUCAUGAACACCACCUCGUGCCUAGUCGCCC